Molecule: non-coding RNA, 820 nt
Organism: Pelobates cultripes (western spadefoot toad)
Lineage: Eukaryota; Metazoa; Chordata; Amphibia; Anura; Pelobatidae
Source: the annotation of a GenBank genome assembly
GUUUAUAACAUGAUUAUUGCUGACUGAAGGGAUAUUGAAUACUUAAAGUCAAUGUACGACAUAAUAUGCUGACUGUGACAGACUAAGGUAUUUCUUCUAUAGGAUGUAAGACAAUGCUAAAUUUCAGGAUGUCUUGCCCAUUCCGAUUUUAAGGAUAUUCUUUUCCAGACGUAUGCAAAAGCUUAUCUUUCCAUUGUCAGAAUAACGUAAUAUAAGGAAGUAAUAAAUCUUAUAGUCUGUACUGUAUUUGCAUAUACCAUGGCUAAUGUAAGCAAACUAUGUAUAAAAGCCAGCUCUGGAAUACACUCAUUUGAGAGUCUUGUAAAGCUGUUGUCCGUGUGUUAAUGCUUACAAUGAUUCUCCAUCAACGUUGAUUAUGGUGACCGAGGGAUCGAGAACCGAGGGGAUUAGAGUCCAUUACAACAUUAACCCUUUCAGCUUGGUGUCUAGAAGUGGGAUAGAUAGAAGUUGGAUCAGCAAAACCAUUGCGGUGAGUAGCCUUUUUGUGUCUUAUUUGACGCUGAUUGUCUAUGACCCCCGUUUGGUUCAGUAAGACUGUAUCCAGUAGAUAGGAAAGGUGUAAGGACUCUAGUUAUAUUGAGACUAUAAGAGGUCUCCGGUUUAUUAGACAUUUGGUCUAAAUAUAUAGGGUUUUGGUAACCCAGGUUAGUAUCUAAGAUAGAUACAGGUUUUUGAGACCAUAAGAGGUCUCCGGUUUAUUAUAGGGUUUUGGUAACCCAGGUUAGUAUCUAAGAUAGAUACAGGGUAUCUCAGGUAGAUACAGGUUUUUGAGACCAUAAGAGGUCUCCGGUUUAUUAAG